GAUCAUUUCAUUCUGAAACCCCUGCCAUUACCAGAGACUCAUUCCAAUGGACCAGAUCGCUCAAAGUCCCAUCCAUCUGAGCACUAUUUAGAGCCAAACUGGGUGGGUAGGUGCCUCCUUCAACUACAGCAGUCUCCUAUCAUGAACACCUGUGGAAGUUUUGGGGCUCUCCAAAACAUAGCAAGCACCUCACCAGGAGUGCUCAGGCUGUUCUGAAUUAGUAAAUAGACACCUCUCCUGCUGCUGGGGAGACAACCAUGGCUCUGAGUUAACUGAGCAAAGACACAAUGCACAGAAUAGGAGAAUAUUCAGCUUGGUGGUUUUGGCUCAAGCAUUUUUCUCAUGCCAAUAGCCUUUCAGAGCUGACUUCAGAAGGUACCUCCUGGUUGUACCUUAACAGGAACUUCAGCUCAGGGGAAACCUGGCUAUAUGCUGACCACAGUGGAUGUCCUGCAAAGCUCUUCUCUAAGAAACACCUCUUCUGUCUCUCCUCAUAUUUUAUCCUUGAAGGAGAGCUUUUGCUUGGAUCAGAGAAGAGCAGAACAGGUCGAGUCCAGGCUUAGAGUGAAGCCUGUAUUUGCUUAGGUAAAGUUCACAUCAUGAAUUGCCUGAACCCACCUGAUCUGGUCUCCCUGGGUUGUAAAUUGGCAAGAGCUGAGACAGUGGCGACGAACGACGACCACAAUGAACAGGCAGCUCUUACUUUCUUAUAUAAGCAGUUUCAGGACAUUUUGCAAUGGUUUCAAGCACGCAUGAACUUUGCUUCCCAUUUUUGCCUUCACUGUGCCUGGCCGUGGCAUCACCGUGUUCCAGAGGAGUUUAUUAGGUCUAGACUUAAAUUAUGGGUGUCAUAUGAGUGAAAUAAAACACAAGUUAGUGAGGUAAUGAUUAAAGAACAAUCUCAGGCCCUGCA
Long non-coding RNA from Vidua chalybeata, 913 nucleotides. RefSeq lists it as uncharacterized. The transcript is spliced from 3 exons. The record is from RefSeq and is a predicted model, not a curated record. NCBI's taxonomy places the organism in Eukaryota, Metazoa, Chordata, Aves, Passeriformes, Viduidae.